GAAUUCGCCCUUUCCGUAGGUGAACCUGCGGAAGGAUCAUUAUCGAGUUAUUGAAACGGGUUGUAGCUGGCCUUACGAGGCAUGUGCACGCCCUGCUCAUCCACUCUACACCUGUGCACUUACUGUGGGUUUCAGGAGCUUCGAAAGCGGAGGGCCUUUGUGGGCUUUUCGUUAUUAGUUGUGACUGGGCUCAUGUCCACUACAAACUCUUAUAAAGUAACAGAAUGUGUAUUGCGAUGUAACGCAUCUAUAUACAACUUUCAGCAACGGAUCUCUUGGCUCUCGCAUCGAUGAAGAACGCAGCGAAAUGCGAUAAGUAAUGUGAAUUGCAGAAUUCAGUGAAUCAUCGAAUCUUUGAACGCACCUUGCGCUCCUUGGUAUUCCGAGGAGCAUGCCUGUUUGAGUGUCAUGAAAUUCUCAACCUGACGGGUUCUUAACGGAGCUUGGUUCAGGCUUGGACUUGGAGGCUUGUCGGCUUGCUUUGUCGAGUCGGCUCCUCUCAAAUGCAUUAGCUUGGUUCUUUGCGGAUCGGCUCACGGUGUGAUAAUUGUCUACGCCGCGACCGUUGAAGCGUUUGAAUGGGCCAGCUUAUAGUCGUCUCCAUCGCGAGACAACAUUUCAUCGAACUCUGACCUCAAAUCAGGUAGGACUACCCGCUGAACUUAAGCAUAUCAAUAAGCGGAGGAAAGGGCGAAUUC
This 698-nucleotide ribosomal RNA is filed under the name Lentinus sajor-caju. Its description in RNAcentral is "eukaryotic LSU rRNA". The stretch from base 256 to 409 matches the Rfam family "5.8S ribosomal RNA". Lineage: Eukaryota; Fungi; Basidiomycota; Agaricomycetes; Polyporales; Polyporaceae. The record is from RNAcentral.